UGCGUAGGCGGGCUAAUAAGUCAGUGGUGAAAUCUUCCGGCUCAACCGGGAACCUGCCAUUGAUACUGUUAGUCUUGAGUUCGGAUGAGGUAGGCGGAAUGUGUAAUGUAGCGGUGAAAUGCUUAGAUAUUACACAGAACACCAAUUGCGUAGGCAGCUUACUAGACCGACACUGACGCUGAGGCACGAAAGCGUGGGGAGCGAACAGGAUUAGAUACCCUGGUAGUCC
RNAcentral lists this ribosomal RNA (229 nucleotides) under uncultured bacterium. RNAcentral describes it as "partial 16S ribosomal RNA". It matches the Rfam family "Bacterial small subunit ribosomal RNA", at positions 568 to 796 of the family's 1533-position model. The record is from RNAcentral.